CAGAAGAGAAUAGGGAUGGGGGAGCAGUGGUAACGUGACGUAUCUCAUACACAUUGACCUUAGGACAGUGUACACAUUUAUCAUACACGGCUUGCUUUUCAUACAAUCAUUGUGUUACAUCGUGUUGCCCUGAUUGGGUCUGCUGAUUAUUGUCUACCCCAUGCCCUGAGGGGGGGGCUCACAUCGGUCCCUUCCGGGGUGGCAAUCGUCUGGGUUUGUGUUUGAUGCUGGGUGUAGAGCCUUGGUAUUUCAUAUACCACUGGGGUGGGGGGUGAACCAUAGAAGAGGAUCAGAGUGGGGGACGGAAGGGAGGGGGGGAAUGAAGGGGGGAGGAGAAAGGGGGGGGGGAGAGGGUAGGGCUCUCCUAGGUAGUCGGCUGUGUGUGGUCGUUUCUGCAGGACUAUCUGUCCUACAUGUGUUUUAUU
Molecule: non-coding RNA, 425 nt
Organism: Pelobates cultripes (western spadefoot toad)
Lineage: Eukaryota; Metazoa; Chordata; Amphibia; Anura; Pelobatidae
Source: the annotation of a GenBank genome assembly